Molecule: long non-coding RNA, 1121 nt
Filed under: Salvator merianae (Argentine black and white tegu)
Lineage: Eukaryota; Metazoa; Chordata; Lepidosauria; Squamata; Teiidae
Description: lncRNA (ENSSMRG00000001347.1)
Source: RNAcentral
GGCUCCCUGCUCACCGACCCUCGCCGGGAAGGCAGAAAAUGACGGAAGCGACGCGCAAAUUAUGAAUGGGGAAGAGUACUGCAGUGAAGUCUCCAUGCCAGCUGCUUUCAAGUGGAAUGUCUUUAAAAGUCUGCUCUGGGAAUUGCUAAGAGCAAGCAGUCAUUUGGCAGCCUGCAGUGUGAAAGCCAAGCAUUGCACCAAGUCCCUCUGCACCAGACGGGAAACAGGGUCCAAGCUUCCAGCUCCCUUCGUUUUCCAGGAGCAGCACUGCAGGAGCCAAGAACCAAGGAAACUGGCUGUUGAGGGAUGUACAGAUGACCUGCCAACUCCUCCCAGGAAAUCUCAGGGCUCUUGGUUGACUGGACAUUUGGUGCAGCAUUCUUUAAAUCAUGGAAACGUCUGCCUUCUGUUAGUUAAUAGAGACAAAAUCUAUUUUAUCUUUAAAGAACUAGGGAUUUGUGCUAGCAAGAGCUAGCUAAGACCAGCCUUAUCUCCUAGCUUGGUUUUUGGUAUUCUGAGAGGGCAGCAUUUAGUUAAGCUCAGCUCAGCUCAGCAAACUAGUCUGGAAAUGUGGCAAUCUAGGAAAGAUCAUAUUGCAGACUGGAUGAUCACAUAAGAGGAUUUUCCCCUGGGUCACCAGGAAGACAGUACAACAUGGAAGUCACUCAACAGAGUACGUUUGGGGUUGUGAAAUCAAAAACAAAUAAUUUGAGAUGGGGUUUGCUGAAUGAAAUAUCUUUAUGUAAGUGCAGAAAUGAACAAACUCUUGGAAUGUAGUUUGUGCCUGGCAAUGUACAAUUAGGCCCAUAGCUGGGGGGAGGGCAGUCCCCUCCCCCAAAUUUUUUAACCCCGCUUAAAAAUUUUAAUCCACCAACGUAAUUAAUGUGAACAUAUUACUCAUUCACCCCCAAAUUUGUGACAGGAGCCCCAUAUAUAUGGAGCUGGCUUCAGGCCUGUGUACACUACAGAGGAACUGGUAUAUGUGACAUCAAAUGUGCUGGAUGUGGCUAGAUACUGAUCAAAACAAUUAAUUUGAAUUAUUUGUACUUUUAAUUAAUUUGCAUGAUGGUUUUUAAUUGUAGCUGAUGCUUUUGACACAAAUAAAUAAGCCACCCAAUCCA